CCUACGGGAGGCAGCAGUGAGGAAUAUUGGUCAAUGGCCGGAAGGCUGAACCAGCCAUGCCGCGUGAAGGGCAGGGACCUAUGGGCGUUAAACUUCUUUUGUGCGGGAGCAAUAAUGGUCACGUGUGGCCAGACGAGAGUACCGUACGAAUAAGCAUCGGCUAACUCCGUGCCAGCAGCCGCGGUAAAACGGGGGAUGCAAGCGUUAUCCGGACUUAUGGGGGUUAAAGGGUGCGUAGGCUGUGAGGUAAGUCAGCGGUGAAAUGCCCCCGCUCAACGGGGUGAAGUGCCAUUGAUACUGCCUUGCUGGAGUGCGGAUGCCGUGGGAGGAAUGUGUGGUGUAGCGGUGAAAUGCAUAGAUAUCACACAGAACACCGAUUGCGAAGGCAUCUCACGAAUCCGCGAUUGACGCUGAUGCACGAAAGCGUGGGUAUCAAACAGGAUUAGAUACCCUGGUAGUC
RNAcentral lists this ribosomal RNA (460 nucleotides) under uncultured bacterium. RNAcentral describes it as "partial 16S ribosomal RNA". It matches the Rfam family "Bacterial small subunit ribosomal RNA", at positions 338 to 795 of the family's 1533-position model. The record is from RNAcentral.